Non-coding RNA from Sphaeramia orbicularis (orbiculate cardinalfish), 72 nucleotides. NCBI's taxonomy places the organism in Eukaryota, Metazoa, Chordata, Actinopteri, Kurtiformes, Apogonidae. The record is from the annotation of a RefSeq genome assembly.
GGGGAUGUAGCUCAGUGGUAGUGUGUAUGCUUUGUGUGUAUGAGGUCCUGGGUUCAAUCCCCAGCAUCUCUG